Molecule: non-coding RNA, 88 nt
Organism: Beta vulgaris subsp. vulgaris (sugar beet)
Lineage: Eukaryota; Viridiplantae; Streptophyta; Magnoliopsida; Caryophyllales; Amaranthaceae
Source: Rfam
GGACAAUGACGAGGAAUAAAUUAAGGUCUCGUUCGUCGUAAGUGCGAUUUCAUUGCCUUGCCGAAAACUCAUAACCAUUUCCGAGUCC